Eptesicus fuscus (big brown bat) is the source of this 824-nucleotide long non-coding RNA. RefSeq lists it as uncharacterized. The record is from RefSeq and is a predicted model, not a curated record. The transcript has 4 exons. Lineage: Eukaryota; Metazoa; Chordata; Mammalia; Chiroptera; Vespertilionidae.
GGCUUCCUCCCCACCCAGCUGUGCACAAGCUUUCCUAGGGAAUCUAAGCAUCCUUUCCCAGGAAGCUGAACUCCAUGGGCAGAACCAGUAGAAAUAAUCUCCAGGAUGAAGUCCUGUGUGUGGGGUGGAUAACAGCAGGCAGUGAUAAGUCUUGAGUGGAGCCUACUCCUGAGAGAAACCUGAGCAGAAGAGAGGAAAACCGAGCAGGCAAUCUGAAGUGCGUAUGGGGGAAAUUACAUAUCCUCACACUCCUGAACUCAAGCACGGCCACGUGAUUUGCUCUGGGCGAUGACCACGCAUCAGUUCCAGGGGGAAGCUCGAAGUGGAACUUCACCUCGUUCUCUCUUCCUCCUCUGCUCUGAAGAGGAGCAAUGAUGCAGACAGAGCUGCUCCAUCAAUAGACUGAGGUCAAUACAGAGCAGAGCUGCAGCUGACCCACAAGGCACAUGCAGGAAGGACAACUGGGCAAUCAGUCUUUGCUUAGAGAGCCGCUGAGAUUUUGGGUCAUGAAGUAUCAUUACCAUCUUGACGGAUAUUGAGUGUCUUAUACGGGGCACUUAAUAAAGCUUGGGUGAAUGGUUGGGUAAAUGGUAGGAACUACUCAAUGGUAAAAUUUGGUAGGUAUCAAUUGAAUAUAAAUCAAAUAUUUCCUUACAGGGUGUGGAGACCACCGGCUUUUAGGUUAAAUGACAGCUUGGAGAAGUGGCAAACAAAAUAAAGGCCCUGUAAAGCGAAAUAAAGAUCUGGGUUGUGUAGUAUGAUAGCCAUUUAUAAUCAACGUAUGAAGUGUCUAGUCUAACAAUCAGCACAAGAUCUGCCCUCUC